CCAAUACCAAGCAUAUGGUCGAUAUUUCCUCACAAAAUUAACAUCGGCACACUGUCCCGCCGCAACGAAAAUGACAACUUUGACCACAUAUCCCAUCGUCAAAACCCUUUUUACUACUGUAGUAUUGUUUUGAUCAUAUGCGCUCGCUCAGUUGUUUCGGUUACUCCUAGCUAAUUCGGUGUUUUUUUCGGUUUCCUUUAAUUGAUGUGCAUGGCCCUGCUAUGAAACUUGACCGACAAACUGCAUUCCUUCCGCGUUAUUUAUCCCACGAGACAAACUUACAUAAAAUUACAGAGCAUUUACUUAUUCCACGACAAACUUGCUGCUUCAUUGAACUCGGACUCAAACCAGCAUGACGAACGCGUGUGAUUCAGCUCAGUACUCCGGCAUGGGGCACUCGGUGGCCGGGCCGCGGUUGGGGUGGAGCACGCAGCCCUUGCCGUCCAUGGGCGCGCACUGGCAGUCGCACCCGUCGAGCAUCUGCCCGGGGUAGUUGUCGCAGGUGAUGUGCCCUCCCUGGACGCACACCACGCCGCAGGUCGCCUUGGCGUCGCCCGACACCGCGAGCCCUGCUCGAUUCACGACAAAGAAAGCGCAUCACACAUGUGUACGUACUACAGUACAUAGUUAAAGCAUAAGGACGCGGCUGGGGACGUACCGGAGACGAGGAGGAGGAAGGUGAUGAUCGUCAGCUUCAUGGUGGCGGCCAUGAUUAUAUGUGUGCUGCGUUUGUUUGCGCCGUGCGAUCUGCGUUUGGAGCGCGGCGCCGGCGCGUUUAUAUAGGGAAGCUGUGGAUGUACGUACGGCUUUGGUUCAACCAAAUUGCAUGCGUACGUAGGUUUACUAAUAGAGACUUGAGGCAACAUCACGUGGCGCGCGGUACUGAUGUACGUACUCCGGUGCGUACGUGCUUGCGUCGACAACAGCUUCGCGGAUUUCAGAAGUCAGAACCAUGGCCAGGCUUCGCGUUGAUCUCAGCAUGCUUUGUCCGGCCGAUCGAGGGCGGACUUGGUCGCGCGCCUCCUCUGACUUAAAGCAAACAUCAUGUGGUUGCCGUGCUGGAUGGAUCGUGUGCAUCUUGGAUGCGGAUCGGGUUGACCGCUCAAAAGUCUCGUCGUGGAGUUCACCACAGCGUGGGAGCAGGAUGAGCUCUAAAGUUAGCAACGACUUUCGUGGUUCGGAUUUUUGUUGACCUUCUUUACUUUGACCUUGGAAAAGUUAUCCUGCAUUCAACAUUUUACUCUCGAUCACUUUCUAUAUUUCUAGUGUUGUUUAUCGAGGUCCGUUGACCAUCAGGCAUACCAGAUUACUCCUCGGAGUUGAAAUACUCCCUCCUUUUCGGUUUAUAGGGCUUAAAUCUGAAAUCUCAUCAACCUUCUAGAAGGGUUUUUUAUUUGGGUUCAUAUUUUUUUGUGUGUUUCGCCAAAAAAAAAAUCGUUUUUUCGUUUUUCACUUCUCCUUUGUUCCUUUUUCCCCUAUUCAUUUUAUCAUUCUUUUCCUUUUUCCUUUUCUAUUUUAAUUUGUAUGGACAUCUUUCGAUCGCUUUUUGAAAUCACAAACAAUGUCAUAUUCCGAACCUUUUGUUAUUUCAUAAACACUUUUAAAAUCCAUGGAAUUAUUUUCCUAAUUAUGAACUGCUCUGAAAUUCAUGAUUUUUUGUCAUCUUUGAACUUUUUUAAAAUCUGUGAAGAUUUUUCCAGUUCCUGAUACUUUUUUCCAAAUAAAGAACUUAAAUUUCAUGAAAACAAAUUCGAGUUCAUGAACAGUUAUUUAACUUUGCUAGCUUUUAAAAAUUUACAAAGUUUUAAAAAAGUCAACUGGUCAACUAUGAGAGCGAGUAGCCCGACGCGCACAAGGGCAUGAAAGGUUGUUAUUGGACCGGCCCAUGUGACAUGGCUCGUGAGCCCAACUACAACAAUGGUGCACAAGGCGUUGAAUAGCAGUCCCUCUAUCCCUUCUAUCUCGCGUAAGCAACUAAUCAAAGAGCGCUCCUUCAAAAGCCUCUCCAACUACAAUAACGGGUACGGAUUUGCUUUCGCGAGGGACAUGGGUGUGCCUCCAAAAAGAGAAAAACAUGUUCCCGGUUAAUGUUUAACAUGUGAUCUAGUUUUGAAGAUCUCAACGUGGGGAACCCAAUGAUGAAAUAACUUGAACGCACGGUUUGAUAUAUAUAUAUAUAUAUAUAUAUAUAUAUAUACAUAUAUAUAUAUAUAUAUAUAUAUAUACAUACAUAUAUAUAUAUAUAUAAACAAAGCUAUGAAAAAGGAAAAACUCCCAGGUUGCGAUAAAUGGCGUACAUGCAGUGCGACACUUGUCGCAACCAGGAAAAAUAGAAAUGACCUUUGUAAAUUGUGCUCUUUAACUAAUGAUUUCGCUCUCUUGCAGUUGGUGUUUAUAAUUUUGAGGAUGGGUCGCUGGUUGUCCUUGCACACACGAGCUGGACGGGUAGCUCGUAACAGGUUCCCUUGGUCUUUGCAUGGUGGGGUUGCUUUCUCAGGGAUGCUGACAUCGCCCCCUUCUUGCAAUGAGGAUUUCCCCAAGCCUCGGUAGCUCCGGAGCAGGUGUGGAGCUCGACUUUUGUCUUUUCAUGAUUUCAUGGACAAAUAGAAUGUUAGUUUUAGAGGUUAUCAUUGGAGAUGCCCUGAUGUUACAUUCAUGAACGUUUUAUUUACAUAGGAGUUUGUCCCAAUCCAACUUGACCCAGAGUUAGUGCAAUGUUCGACCAUGUGCCCUCGCUUAGUUGUUUCAAACUGAGUUCAUUGACCCUUUAAAUUUUGUGAAAACCUAGGGUUAGUGUGAUGUUCUCAUCAUGUGCGCUCGCUCAUUUGUUACACAAACUUUUAAAAUUUUGUGAACAAAAAUGGAGUUCUGAUCAUUUUUUAGUUUUGCUAUGUUUUAAAAAUAGAUAAUCUUUUUACAAUCGUUUUUAACCGCGGGCGAUUUAAGUUGCGACAUGAGAUUAAACGCUGGGAUUUUUUUUUGCAAAUAAAACGGUGACAAUUUACAUUUGUUUUUGCCUCGAAAGUUACUUGUUUCCACAAACUGCCACGUGUCUGAAGGAAAUGGCAUGCGUCUCUGAAGGAGUGGCCAACAAAAACGUUUGUAAAUGUCAUCCCUCACAGCGAACGUUCGCCAGCCAUUGGGGGUCCAAAAACUGAGCUAGUUCGGUGUUUUUUCAGUUAUUUAUUUCCUUCUAAUGCUUUUUUUCCAGUGCUUAGCCCUGCUGCAAAACUUGAUCAACGGAUUCCAUUCCAUUGCAUUCAUUCCACGACAGAAGCUUACAUUUCAUUCGUUACUUAUUAUUCCAUGUACGAAACAGGUGAGCGGAGGUGAAGGUGUCGAACGCGCGUGAUCCGAUUCAGUGCCUGGUGCACCUGUUGGUGGAGCCGCUGUUGAGGUGGAGCACGCAGCCCCUGCCGUCCUUCGGAGCGCACACGCAGGCGCACCCGUCGAGCUUCUCGCCGGGGUAGUUCUUGCAGGUGAUGUACCCUCCCUGGAUGCACCGGACGGUGUCGCAGGUCGCCUGGGCGUCCCCGAACACCACGAGCGCUGCUCGAUCCGGAGCGCACAAAUUAUAAAGCGUCAGAGAGCUUGCUGUUUGCCAUACGAGCGCGCGCCGUUGGAGCAUUAGGAUACGGAAUUAAGGAAUGUAUAAGGAUGGACUUACCGGAGAUGAGGAGGACGAAGGUGAGCGACAGCUUCAUGGUGGCGGCCAUGCUCGUGCUUUCGUGCCUGCGCGUCGUGCGGUCUGUGGUUGCAGCGCGGUGCCGGUGCGUUUAUGUAGGGAGGCUGCUUCAGUUGAGCUCAGCCAAACUCCAUGCUGGAUCCGCCGCCCUCUCUGACUUUGUGCCGCCGUUCACGAGAGGUUUGAAGCGAGAUCACAUGCCAGGCGACACUGAUGUGCUCCAAUACGUACGUACGUGCUUGCGUCGACGCCCGCUUCGUGCAUUUCGGAACUAUGGCCACAUUGCCAGAUCCGGCCGAUCGAGGGCAGAAAGUCAGAGGAGGCUGCCGACUUGGUCGCGCCCAUCUUGUAUGUGAGGUGUAGCGGUGCUGGAUGGAUCUCCGUACAUAAUGAAACCCGUACAUAUUUAUCUUUGUUGUAUUUGAAUCAAAUAUUUAUCUUUUUUGUGUAGCAUCCAAAUAACCAAGUUACCUAAUGAAACUUUUUACAUACUUGACUAUCAUGUAUAUGUAGUUAUCAAAAAAGGAACGCUACGACGUCCGCUGGUCGACGUGUAUUAUACAUCCUCCGCCAUCGUUAGAUCUACACGUGCAACCAUCCGAUUGAUCUCCUGUCACGCCUCACUUGUCUCGCAACAACGGCUUUGUUGCAGAAAUAACUGAUUUGUCUCGGCUGCUACGCGUCGAUCGGCCGAGCCGCUAUUCGCCAGAAGUGACAUCAUCAAGUGACAGACGAGCAAAUAAGUUUUUGCACUAUAGAUUAUGUUGCAGAAUUUUUUGUAAUAGAGGUCAUGUUACGAAAACGUUUGUAGAUUUUUUUUACAACAAAAAAUGUUACUGUGUAUUUUUUUGCAAUAUAAUUUGUUAUAGAAUAUUUUCUGCAACAAAUAUUGUGUUGCCGAAACACCUGUAUAAUCUUAUAGAAUUUUUUGCAACAUGAUCCUUGUUGCAAAAAAUAUUUUGAAAAACGAUCCUUGUUGCAGAAUUAUUUUGCAAAAAAAUAAGCAUAUGCAUUUAGCAGCUCUAUCCGUCGCUAUCCGUAGCUAUUGCAAUGGAGUCUUUGUUGCAAAAAGAAACGUCAUGCGUGAGUACCGUCAGCAAUUCACGUCAUGUAGCCUGCUCACCAUGACGUGUCCCUCUGCUCCUUCCGAUUUAAUUCACCACCCACGUAGUCACGUGGGGAGCAAAGAAGACGGUGGACACGAGAGCAGGAUCAGCCGGCUGGAAGGUAACGUUUCUCAUAAAAAAUGAUAUUUUUUGAAAAUUUUAAGUAUAUAUUGAAUCUUUUUGGUAAAAUGGGCUCCAUGGAGCCCGGUCUCUGCUAUGCCGCUCCCUUAGCUGACCUCUAUCCUCCUAUAGAAAAGACCUCACAUUUCCUUCUCCCCUCGAAGCCGGUGCCGGUCUGCUUUGUCUUCGAUGGACUAUAGCCAAUGAAGGUGCGAAGGACCUGAGCCCCCCGCCGACGGGAAGGACCCUGCUCUCGGUUUUGUUAGGUUCAACAUCUUGAUUAUAGUUGUAGGGCAUUAAACGGGUCGGUUCUAUGGGCUGGACCCUAGAAGGAAGACUCGGUCUAGAGAGUAGACCCGUCCUGAGAAGACCUGGCCCAGAGAGAAGACUCGGCCUUAGAAGACCUGGCCUAGAGAGAAGACCUGAUCGGGCUUGAUCGUUUUUUAAGAGAAGACCCAGCUUGCUGUUGCUGGCUCAACGAAGCGUACAUAAGAUGAAUACCUCCUAAUUUAGAAAGCACAAAAGACCUACAGGACUUAGAGUAAAACUCUUAUUACGGAUGGGACCUGAAAUCUAUUGUAAACCAGGGACUCAAACUAUUAUAUAAAGGGAGCCCCUGGUCAUCAAAAGGACAAAUUAGAAUCCCACGAGUUAUUGGUAGCAAUUAAGAAAGUUGUAGGCUUUUACCUCCAUCGUGAGGAGUCGAACUUGGAUAAGACUCCGUCUUUUAAUUCCGACCAACCUUGUUCAAGUUACCACCUAACAACAAUGCCUCACAACUAAGUUCUCCCACAAGAAAAUCUUACCAUGACAAAACAAUGACACCUCCAAUUGCGGUUUUGCAACCGUCUGUGCGCCCAAUCGGUCCUACUUGCCCCAAAGUGUCCGUGUUUUUGGACUUAUAUUUUAACCCCAAAAUAACCCAAAUAAACGUUGUAAGUAAUAAUAAAAAACACAAAUAUAAACAUUAAAAUGUUCAAACGUCGAGAGUAGCCAAGUUUAACACAGUUCUUAAACUAAUAAAACUUAAACGACAUGAAAUAAAGUUGAUGGUCCAUCGCCGGUGAGGCCGCCGUCGUCUUUUGGAGCCGCCGUCCUUGUGGUCGUUGUCGUUGGUGAGGUCGAUGUAUGGAGGUGGCUACCAAAGGUGGGGUGGCAGCCCGUGGCAAACCGGAGGCGUUUGCGCUGCGUCACCACCUUCUCUCGUGGCUCUUGUUCGUGCACCAGUGACUGCAGUGGCGUGGACGAUCAUGGACCGACACGCAACAAGUCGGCCAUCUCCGAUGCCGUGAACGGCCAGCUCCACUACUGACCCAUCAAAUGCCGGUCGCUAACGGACAAAUUAUAUGGUUGCCGUCGUGCGUUCGGCCAUAUCGCCUGCCCGUUUGUCUCCUAACGGACAAAUACGAAUAUGAUGGGGUCAUGGGUUGAAGUUGGCUUAACAUACUUAUACCACUCCUAUGUAGACUGUCGUGGUACUUCAUGAAUGCGGAAAGCAGCUGCGGCUUACUGCUUUUCCGUAAUAAGUUAGUUAAUUCAGCAAGAGCGGGACGUGGGUAGGCCAAGGCAAUCUAGCCACUGUGGAUCAACACAUUAUCCUCGGAAAGUUUAUUCGAAGUGUGUAAAGUUGGAUUCUACUGCAUGAGCUCCCACGGUAUCACUUGCAAGGAUUUAUUUGACUCGAACCCAAACCAACUAUUCAGCUAGAACUUCUUUGGCCUCCGGCAGUUGGUCUUGGUGACGCCGUCGUCGAGGUGGAGCACGCAGCCCUUGCCGUCGGCCGGCGCGCACUCGCAGUCGCACCCGUCGAGCUCCUGCCCGGGGUAGUUGUCGCAGGUGAUGUGCCCUCCCUGGAAGCACACCACGGCGCACGGCGCCUUGGCGUCCGCGAUCACCCCGA
RNAcentral lists this long non-coding RNA (6811 nucleotides) under Hordeum vulgare. RNAcentral's name for it is "long non-coding RNA (HVUL_LNC008639)". The record is from RNAcentral. Lineage: Eukaryota; Viridiplantae; Streptophyta; Magnoliopsida; Poales; Poaceae.